RNAcentral lists this small RNA (1624 nucleotides) under Pongo abelii (Sumatran orangutan). RNAcentral describes it as "retained intron". Lineage: Eukaryota; Metazoa; Chordata; Mammalia; Primates; Hominidae. The record is from RNAcentral.
GACAGCUAGGGAAGAUGGCCCAGGCUGGGGAAGUCGCUCUCACGCCUUGCUGCCCCCUCCCCUGAGCCAGGUGAUUUGGGAGACCCCCUCCUUCCUUUUUUCCCUACCGCCCUACACGCGACCCGGGGAUGGCUCCGUGGCCUCACGAGAACAGCUCUCUUGCCCCAUGGCCGGACCUCCCCACCCUGGCGCCCAAUACCGCCAACACCAGUGGGCUGCCAGGGGUGCCCUGGGCGGCGGCCCUGGCCGGGGCGCUGCUGGCGCUGGCGGUGCUGGCCACCGUGGGAGGCAACCUGCUGGUCAUCGUGGCCAUCGCCCGGACUCCGAGACUCCAGACCAUGACCAACGUGUUCGUGACUUCGCUGGCCGCAGCCGACCUGGUGAUGGGACUCCUGGUGGUGCCGCCAGCGGCCACCUUGGCGCUGACUGGCCACUGGCCGUUGGGCGCCACUGGCUGCGAGCUGUGGACCUCGGUGGACGUGCUGUGUGUGACCGCCAGCAUCGAAACCCUGUGCGCCCUGGCCGUGGACCGCUACCUGGCUGUGACCAACCCGCUGCGUUACGGCGCACUGGUCACCAAGCGCCGCGCCCGGACAGCCGUGGUCCUAGUGUGGGUCGUGUCGGCCGCGGUGUCAUUUGCGCCCAUCAUGAGCCAGUGGUGGCGCGUAGGGGCCGACGCCGAGGCGCAGCGCUGCCACUCCAACCCGCGCUGCUGUGCCUUCGCCUCCAACAUGCCCUACGUGCUGCUGUCCUCCUCCGUCUCCUUCUACCUUCCUCUUCUCGUGAUGCUCUUCGUCUACGCGCGGGUUUUCGUGGUGGCUACGCGCCAGCUGCGCUUGCUGCGCGGGGAGCUGGGCCGCUUUCCGCCCGAGGAGUCUCCGCCGGCGCCGUUGCGCUCUCUGGCCCCGGCCCCGGUGGGGACUUGCGCUCUGCCCGAAGGGGUGCCCGCCUGCGGCCGGCGGCCCGCGCGCCUCCUGCCUCUCCGGGAACACCGGGCCCUGUGCACCUUGGGUCUCAUCAUGGGCACCUUCACUCUCUGCUGGUUGCCCUUCUUUCUGGCCAACGUGCUGCGCGCCCUGGGGGGCCCCUCUCUAGUCCCGGGCCAGGCUUUCCUUGCCCUGAACUGGCUAGGUUAUGCCAAUUCUGCCUUCAACCCGCUCAUCUACUGCCGCAGCCCGGACUUUCGCAGCGCCUUCCGCCGUCUUCUGUGCCGCUGCGGCCGUCGCCUGCCUCCCGAGCCCUGCGCCGCCGCCCGCCCGGCCCUCUUCCCCUCGGGCGCUCCUGCUGCCCGGACCAGCCCCACGCAGCCCAGGCUUUGCCAACGGCUCGACGGGUAGGUAACCGAGGCAGAGGGACCGGCGGCUCAGGGUCGGGAAGCAUGCGAUGUCUCCGUGGGUCAAAUUUUUGAGUGUGGAGUUUACUAGGAGAAGGUGGGAUGGCUUUGCUUGGAGAGAAAAGGGAAUGAGGAGUAGCGAACCAAAAUGGGACCCAGGGUCCUUUUCUUUCCGGAUCCAGUCACUAGGGUAGAAGCAAAGGAGGGCGAGCGGGCCGUCGUUCCUCACCCAAGGACUCAAGGUGCGCCACCGGAAAGCGCUGCGGUGUCCCGAGGACUCUUGCCCCGCCU